UCCUACGGGGGGCUGCAGUGGGGAAUUUUGGACAAUGGGCGCAAGCCUGAUCCAGCCAUGCCGCGUGAGUGAAGAAGGCCUUCGGGUUGUAAAGCUCUUUCGGACGGGAAGAAAUCGCAUGGGUUAAUACCCUGUGCGGAUGACGGUACCGUAAUAAGAAGCACCGGCUAACUACGUGCCAGCAGCCGCGGUAAUACGUAGGGUGCGAGCGUUAAUCGGAAUUACUGGGCGUAAAGCGUGCGCAGGCGGUUUUGUAAGACAGGCGUGAAAUCCCCGGGCUCAACCUGGGAACUGCGCUUGUGACUGCAAGGCUAGAGUAUGGCAGAGGGGGGUGGAAUUCCACGUGUAGCAGUGAAAUGCGUAGAGAUGUGGAGGAACACCGAUGGCGAAGGCAGCCCCCUGGGCCAAUACUGACGCUCAUGCACGAAAGCGUGGGUAGCAAACAGGAUUAGAUACCCUAGUAGUCUC
RNAcentral lists this ribosomal RNA (468 nucleotides) under uncultured bacterium. Its description in RNAcentral is "bacterial SSU rRNA". It matches the Rfam family "Bacterial small subunit ribosomal RNA", at positions 337 to 797 of the family's 1533-position model. The record is from RNAcentral.